Molecule: long non-coding RNA, 350 nt
Organism: Prinia subflava (tawny-flanked prinia)
Lineage: Eukaryota; Metazoa; Chordata; Aves; Passeriformes; Cisticolidae
Exons: 3
Source: RefSeq, a predicted model, not a curated record
CGGGAACAGCCUCUGAGGGGGGGGGCGCCGUGAGGGAGCCGCUGAGGGGGGACGGGACCCCCGCGCCAAAGUUUGGGGAAAGUUUCCCCUGGUUUGGGGCGGGGGUCGUGCCUCAGCUCCGCGCUCCCGCUGCGGCAUUGGGUUCCUGUCUACAAAGAGCUGAUGAUCCCCUGAGCUGCUGAGUUGCCAAAGCACCGUGCCCAGGACCAGGCCUGCCCGCAGAGGUCCCGGCGCGGGGCGGCUCCCUGGGACGGGGACCGGGCGGGACGGGGACCGGGCAGGACGGGGACCGGGCACGGCUCGGGCACGGCUCGGGCACCGCGUCCCCCGCCGGCUCAGAGCCAGCUCCC